CUACGACUCUCUCUCUAGCCAAAGCUCCCCUCUCGUCACAAGCACGCCUCUCUCGCUCUGAGCUCUCCUGCGGCGAGCUCUCUCUCGCUAGAUCUAGGGUUUCUCACUCUGCAACCUCUCUUCGCCGACAAACUCCUUCACUGAUUAUUAUGAGAUAAUAGUGGAAAUGCAUUAACGUGAGAUUUGUUUCGUGGAGAAUAAUCGCGAGGAGAGGUUUGACGUGAUUCUGCAUUCGCGGCGUUAUCAACUUCUCACGCGGAUAGUCCACUGGGAUGCAGAUGGUGGGAAGCCACUGGAGCUCAAUAGGAUUCUUAGACCUGGAGGUUUCUUUGUUUGGUCUACAACACA
Long non-coding RNA from Zingiber officinale, 348 nucleotides. RefSeq lists it as uncharacterized. The record is from RefSeq and is a predicted model, not a curated record. NCBI's taxonomy places the organism in Eukaryota, Viridiplantae, Streptophyta, Magnoliopsida, Zingiberales, Zingiberaceae. The transcript has 3 exons.